RNAcentral lists this ribosomal RNA (253 nucleotides) under uncultured bacterium. Its description in RNAcentral is "partial 16S ribosomal RNA". It matches the Rfam family "Bacterial small subunit ribosomal RNA", at positions 524 to 776 of the family's 1533-position model. The record is from RNAcentral.
UACGUAGGGUGCAGGCGUUAAUCGGAAUUACUGGGCGUAAAGCGCGCGCAGGCGGUCUUCCAAGUCAGUGGUGAAAGCCUGGAGCUCAACUCCAGAACUGCCAUUGAAACUGUGAGACUUGAGUACGAGAGAGGUGAGUGGAAUUCCCAGUGUAGAGGUGAAAUUCGUAGAUAUUGGGAAGAACACCAGUGGCGAAGGCGGCUCACUGGCUCGUAACUGACGCUCAGGCGCGACAGCGUGGGGAUCAAACAGG